RNAcentral lists this transfer RNA (59 nucleotides) under Neotoma lepida (desert woodrat). It matches the Rfam family "tRNA", at positions 8 to 63 of the family's 71-position model. From Rfam's summary of the family: Transfer RNA (tRNA) molecules are approximately 80 nucleotides in length. The record is from Rfam by way of RNAcentral. Lineage: Eukaryota; Metazoa; Chordata; Mammalia; Rodentia; Cricetidae.
UGGCUCAGUGGUCAAGAGCACUUAACUGCUUUUGAAGAAGACCUGGGUUCAAUUCCCAG